CCAAGGUGUUCCCAUUCGGUGAUCAGGACUGAACACAUACCGUUCAGCAUGGAGUUUGGGCUGAGCUUGGUUUUCCUUGUUGCUGUUUUAAGAGGUGUCCAGUGUGAGGUGCAGCUGGUGGAAUCUGGGGGAGACUUGGUGCAGCCUGGGGGGUCUCUGAGACUCUCCUGUGCAGCCUCUGGAUUCACCUUCAGCAGCUAUGCCAUGAACUGGGUCCACCAGUCUCCAGGGAAAGGACCACAGUGGGUCUCAGGUAUUAUUUAUGAUGGUAGUAGCACAUACUAUGCAGACUCUGUGAAGGGCCGAUUCAUCAUCUCCAGAGACAACUCCAAGAACACGCUGUAUCUGCAAAUAAACAGCCUGAGAACCGAGGACACGGCCGUGUAUUACUGUGCAAUAUACACAAUGAAGGGAAGUCAGUGUGAGCCCAGACACAAAUCUCCCUGCAGGAAGGGCUCACGACCACCAGGGGGCGCUCAGGCCCUACACACAAUGACCAUCACAGAGGCAGGUGCAGAUGGAGGUUAA
Non-coding RNA from Ceratotherium simum simum (southern white rhinoceros), 528 nucleotides. The record is from the annotation of a RefSeq genome assembly. Lineage: Eukaryota; Metazoa; Chordata; Mammalia; Perissodactyla; Rhinocerotidae.